AAUGAGAGUUUGAUCCUGGCUCAGGACGAACGCUGGCGGCGUGCCUAAUACAUGCAAGUAGAACGCACAGGAUACACCGUAGUUUACUACACCGUAUUCUGUGAGUUGCGAACGGGUGAGUAACGCGUAGGUAACCUGCCUGGUAGCGGGGGAUAACUAUUGGAAACGAUAGCUAAUACCGCAUAAGAACAUUUACUGCAUGGUAGAUGUUUAAAAGGUGCAAAUGCAUCACUACCAGAUGGACCUGCGUUGUAUUAGCUAGUAGGUGAGGUAACGGCUCACCUAGGCGACGAUACAUAGCCGACCUGAGAGGGUGAUCGGCCACACUGGGACUGAGACACGGCCCAGACUCCUACGGGAGGCAGCAGUAGGGAAUCUUCGGCAAUGGGGGGAACCCUGACCGAGCAACGCCGCGUGAGUGAAGAAGGUUUUCGGAUCGUAAAGCUCUGUUGUUAAGGAAGAACGAGUGUGAGAAUGGAAAGUUCAUACUGUGACGGUACUUAACCAGAAAGGGACGGCUAACUACGUGCCAGCAGCCGCGGUAAUACGUAGGUCCCGAGCGUUGUCCGGAUUUAUUGGGCGUAAAGCGAGCGCAGGCGGUUAGAUAAGUCUGAAGUUAAAGGCAGUGGCUCAACCAUUGUAGGCUUUGGAAACUGUUUAACUUGAGUGCAGAAGGGGAGAGUGGAAUUCCAUGUGUAGCGGUGAAAUGCGUAGAUAUAUGGAGGAACACCGGUGGCGAAAGCGGCUCUCUGGUCUGUAACUGACGCUGAGGCUCGAAAGCGUGGGGAGCGAACAGGAUUAGAUACCCUGGUAGUCCACGCCGUAAACGAUGAGUGCUAGGUGUUAGGUCCUUUCCGGGACUUAGUGCCGCAGCUAACGCAUUAAGCACUCCGCCUGGGGAGUACGACCGCAAGGUUGAAACUCAAAGGAAUUGACGGGGGCCCGCACAAGCGGUGGAGCAUGUGGUUUAAUUCGAAGCAACGCGAAGAACCUUACCAGGUCUUGACAUCCUGAUGCCCGCUCUAGAGAUAGAGCUUUACUUCGGUACAUCGGUGACAGGUGGUGCAUGGUUGUCGUCAGCUCGUGUCGUGAGAUGUUGGGUUAAGUCCCGCAACGAGCGCAACCCUUAUUGUUAGUU
This 1138-nucleotide ribosomal RNA is filed under the name Streptococcus intermedius. RNAcentral describes it as "bacterial SSU rRNA". It matches the Rfam family "Bacterial small subunit ribosomal RNA", at positions 1 to 1116 of the family's 1533-position model. The record is from RNAcentral. Lineage: Bacteria; Bacillati; Bacillota; Bacilli; Lactobacillales; Streptococcaceae.